This 715-nucleotide ribosomal RNA is filed under the name Paramagnetospirillum magnetotacticum. RNAcentral's name for it is "bacterial SSU rRNA". It matches the Rfam family "Bacterial small subunit ribosomal RNA", at positions 28 to 774 of the family's 1533-position model. Lineage: Bacteria; Pseudomonadati; Pseudomonadota; Alphaproteobacteria; Rhodospirillales; Magnetospirillaceae. The record is from RNAcentral.
AACGAACGCUGGCGGUACGCCUAACACAUGCAAGUCGAACGGUACCAGGCCCGCAAGGGUGCUGGCGAGUGGCGAACGGGUGAGUAACACGUGGAUGACCUACCUUGAGGUGGGGGACAACAGCUAGAAAUGGCUGCUAAUACCGCAUAUCUCCUAAGGGAUAAAGGCGCAAGUCGCCUUAAGAUGGGUCCGCGUUGGAUUAGCUAGUUGGUGAGGUAAUGGCCCACCAAGGCGACGAUCCAUAGCUGGUCUGAGAGGAUGAUCAGCCACACUGGGACUGAGACACGGCCCAGACUCCUACGGGAGGCAGCAGUGGGGAAUAUUGCGCAAUGGGGGAAACCCUGACGCAGCGAUACCGCGUGGGUGAAGAAGGUCUUAGGAUUGUAAAGCCCUUUCAGUGGGAACGAUUGUGACGGUACCCACAGAAGAAGCACCGGCCAACUCCGUGCCAGCAGCCGCGGUAAUACGGAGGGUGCAAGCGUUGUUCGGAAUUACUGGGCGUAAAGGGCACGUAGGCGGUCCGAUAAGUCAGGAGUGAAAUGCAAAGGCUCAACCUUUGAACUGCUCUUGAAACUGUUGGACUUGAGUUUGGCAGAGGGUGGUGGAAUUCCCCAAGUAGAGGUGAAAUUCGUAGAUAUGGGGAGGAAGACCGGAGGCGAAAGCGGCCACCUGGACCAAAACUGACGCUGAGGUGCGAAAGCGUGGGGAGCAAACA